GAUAUAAGAAUUGUACAUUUAAAAAAUAAAAAACAUUAAAUCAUAUAUAUUUUUAAUCUACUAAACAAAUUAAAUGCCUGAAUGAGAGUCUAGUACAGUUUUAAAAAACAGUAAAUUUUGUACUCUUAUCGCUUGUGGUUUAUGCACAUGAACUGUUCGAUGAAAUGCCUGAAUGAGAGUCUACGGUUACAAAGAGUUGAGGUGAUGUUCUGUUAGCUGUUUGGAUCUUGUGAAUGCCUCCAGGGAGUUGAUAGAAGAGCCGCCAAGAUUGUUCCGAAUGGGAAUUGAACUUUGACGCUCCAGCGAACUCAUAUGAUUGUGAUGGUGUACGUGGACCUUUUGGGUUCUGCUGUGUUUGGUAUCUUGAGAUACUAACUGAAACAUAAUGGUAACACACUUAUGACCUUAACUUACUAUUCAUUUAUACUUGCUAACAUAACCAGUAAUUCAAAAAGUCCCCUAGACCGUAUGUUUUCUAAUGAUUGAUAACUAAUAUAUAAUUUAAGCGAAAUGAGUUUUUCCAUUACAUCAAACCUACACUAAUCGACUUACUCCAAUAUGUUCUUCAAAACCAUCAUAUGUUUCUUUUUGAUACCUUGGUUUCUGCUAGCUUUAAAAACUCAAGAUAUGUUCACUAAAUGAUGCAUAAGGGAGUGAUCUGUAAGUUUGUAACCAUAAGAUGUCUCACAUUUAGAUUUCUUUGAGAUGAGACCUCUUUAAAGCAUCACAAGUAAAGAAUUCCAUAACAGUGUUUAAAUAUCUAAACCGGUUUGCUUGAUUCUUGCAAAUACCAACUGUUAAUCCUAAAAGUUUUUCGUUUGGCCAUUGACAUUGUCAUUUCUUACAAAACACGAAUAUGUUUACACAGGGUGUUACAAUACGAAGAAGCCAAUGGUAGCGAAAGAUAGAAAGAUUUGUACGAUACAAGAGACAUAAAACACAUAGGAUGAUGAUCACCUCAGUGGAACUUGAGGCUGGUCAAGACGUUGUUGUUGACGGGAUCAGCCAAGUGAUCGAGCAGGUUCUGGUAAGGUCCCACACCGGUCACUAGUCCUUGGAUAAAGUAACCGAGGAUGGCGAGCAUAGCCAGUCUACCGUUCUUGACCUCCUUGAGUUUCAACUCCUUCAAGGACUUCUCAUCUUUCCCAA
RNAcentral lists this long non-coding RNA (1149 nucleotides) under Arabidopsis lyrata. RNAcentral describes it as "long non-coding RNA (ALYR_LNC002645)". The record is from RNAcentral. Lineage: Eukaryota; Viridiplantae; Streptophyta; Magnoliopsida; Brassicales; Brassicaceae.